RNAcentral lists this transfer RNA (77 nucleotides) under Alphaproteobacteria bacterium. Its description in RNAcentral is "tRNA-Arg". It matches the Rfam family "tRNA". Rfam says of the family: Transfer RNA (tRNA) molecules are approximately 80 nucleotides in length. Their secondary structure includes four short double-helical elements and three loops (D, anti-codon, and T loops). Lineage: Bacteria; Pseudomonadati; Pseudomonadota; Alphaproteobacteria. The record is from RNAcentral.
GCGCCCUUAGCUCAGUUGGAUAGAGCAGAUGCCUUCUAAGCAUCAGGUCAGUGGUUCGAAUCCACUAGGGCGCGCCA